CCAGCAGCCGCGGUAAUUCCAGCUCCAAUAGCGUAUAUUUAAGUUGUUGCAGUUAAAAAGCUCGUAGUUGGAUUUCGGGUGGGUUGUAGCGGUCAGCCUUUGGUUAGUACUGCUACGGCCUACCUUUCUGCCGGGGACGAGCUCCUGGGCUUAACUGUCCGGGACUCGGAAUCGGCGAGGUUACUUUGAGUAAAUUAGAGUGUUCAAAGCAAGCCUACGCUCUGAAUACAUUAGCAUGGAAUAACACGAUAGGACUCUGGCUUAUCUUGUUGGUCUGUAAGACCGGAGUAAUGAUUAAGAGGGACAGUCGGGGGCAUUCGUAUUUCAUUGUCAGAGGUGAAAUUCUUGGAUUUAUGAAAGACGAACUUCUGCGAAAGCAUUUGCCAAGGAUGUUUUCAUUAAUCAAGAACGAAAGUCUGUCUCUUAUACAUUAAUCAAGAACGAAAGU
RNAcentral lists this ribosomal RNA (448 nucleotides) under uncultured eukaryote. Its description in RNAcentral is "SSU rRNA". It matches the Rfam family "Eukaryotic small subunit ribosomal RNA", at positions 567 to 1021 of the family's 1831-position model. The record is from RNAcentral.